Molecule: long non-coding RNA, 369 nt
Organism: Mauremys mutica (yellowpond turtle)
Lineage: Eukaryota; Metazoa; Chordata; Testudines; Geoemydidae
Exons: 3
Source: RefSeq, a predicted model, not a curated record
CAGGAUCAUUUGUGGGACACGUGAUUCCUUCUUACCGAAAAGUUGGUUGGAAAAGCAGAUCUCACACUCGAGGAAUGCCUCCAAAUUACAAGACCAAGUGGAUGAGUUCAACAUCAAGCUGCUGGAACUCUGACCCCUCUGCACGACCAUGAUGUACACAGACAUGACUGGGAACCCCCAGACAAGAGGAUCCUGACUGGCCAUCGGGUGAAAUUGCACCUGCAGAUUCCACCUGAGAUGAGGGUCCCACUGUCGUAGGCACUGAAAAAACACCCAGUAACAGUCUCUUCCCAGAAGUUCUCACAAUUAAAAUAGACAACACUGCAAAAGGAUUGGAGAAUGGAAAUAUUUCACUAAUAUACAAAUGAU